This 82-nucleotide transfer RNA is filed under the name Exophiala mesophila. Its description in RNAcentral is "partial tRNA-Lys". It matches the Rfam family "tRNA". Rfam says of the family: Transfer RNA (tRNA) molecules are approximately 80 nucleotides in length. Their secondary structure includes four short double-helical elements and three loops (D, anti-codon, and T loops). The record is from RNAcentral. Lineage: Eukaryota; Fungi; Ascomycota; Eurotiomycetes; Chaetothyriales; Herpotrichiellaceae.
GCCCGCGUGGCACAAUUGGUCAGCGCGUGAGACUUUUAUGCAAGGUAUCUCAAGGUUGAGAGUUCGAGCCUCUCCGCGGGCG